Molecule: ribosomal RNA, 817 nt
Filed under: Alteromonas sp.
Lineage: Bacteria; Pseudomonadati; Pseudomonadota; Gammaproteobacteria; Alteromonadales; Alteromonadaceae
Description: bacterial SSU rRNA
Rfam family: Bacterial small subunit ribosomal RNA
Source: RNAcentral
UGCAGUCGAACGGAAACAUAGUCUAGCUUGCUAGAUGAUGUCGAGUGGCGGACGGGUGAGUAAUGCUUGGGAACUUGCCUUUGCGAGGGGGAUAACAGUUGGAAACGACUGCUAAUACCGCAUAAUGUCUUCGGACCAAACGGGGCUUCGGCUCCGGCGCAAAGAGAGGCCCAAGUGAGAUUAGCUAGUUGGUGAGGUAAAGGCUCACCAAGGCAACGAUCUCUAGCUGUUCUGAGAGGAAGAUCAGCCACACUGGGACUGAGACACGGCCCAGACUCCUACGGGAGGCAGCAGUGGGGAAUAUUGCACAAUGGGGGAAACCCUGAUGCAGCCAUGCCGCGUGUGUGAAGAAGGCCUUCGGGUUGUAAAGCACUUUCAGUUGUGAGGAAAAGUUAGUAGUUAAUACCUGCUAGCCGUGACGUUAACAACAGAAGAAGCACCGGCUAACUCCGUGCCAGCAGCCGCGGUAAUACGGAGGGUGCGAGCGUUAAUCGGAAUUACUGGGCGUAAAGCGCACGCAGGCGGUUUGUUAAGCUAGAUGUGAAAGCCCCGGGCUCAACCUGGGACGGUCAUUUAGAACUGGCAGACUAGAGUCUUGGAGAGGGGAGUGGAAUUCCAGGUGUAGCGGUGAAAUGCGUAGAUAUCUGGAGGAACAUCAGUGGCGAAGGCGACUCCCUGGCCAAAGACUGACGCUCAUGUGCGAAAGUGUGGGUAGCGAACAGGAUUAGAUACCCUGGUAGUCCACACCGUAAACGCUGUCUACUAGCUGUUUGUGACUUUAAGUCGUGAGUAGCGAAGCUAACGCGAUAAGUAGACC